RNAcentral lists this ribosomal RNA (1394 nucleotides) under uncultured euryarchaeote. RNAcentral describes it as "16S ribosomal RNA". It matches the Rfam family "Archaeal small subunit ribosomal RNA". The record is from RNAcentral. Lineage: Archaea; Methanobacteriati; Methanobacteriota.
CACUGCUAUCGGGGUUCGAUUAAGCCAUGCGAGUCGAGAGGGUUCGGCCCUCGGCGUAUUACUCAGUAACACGUGGAUAACCUGCCCUAAGGAAGGGGAUAACCUCGGGAAACUGAGGAUAAUACCCUAUAGGUUACAGACGCUGGAAUGCCCUGUAACCGAAAGUUCCGGCGCCUUAGGAUGGAUCUGCGGCCGAUUAGGUUGUUGUUGGGGUAACGGCCCAACAAGCCGAUAAUCGGUACGGGUUGUGGGAGCAAGAGCCCGGAGUUGGAUUCUGAGACACGAAUCCAGGCCCUACGGGGCGCAGCAGGCGCGAAAACUUUACAAUGCGGGAAACCGUGAUAAGGGAACCUCGAGUGCCUGUAUAUGCAGGCUGUCCAGGUGUCUAAAAAACACCUGAAGAAAGGGCCGGGCAAGACCGGUGCCAGCCGCCGCGGUAAUACCGGCGGCUCGAGUGGUGGCCACUUUUAUUGGGCUUAAAGCGUUCGUAGCUGGGUUGUUAAGUCUCUUGGGAAAUCUGGCGGCUUAACCGUCAGGCGUCCAAGGGAUACUGGCAAUCUUGGAACCGGGAGAGGUGAGGGGUACUUCGGGGGUAGGAGUGAAAUCCUGUAAUCCUCGAGGGACCACCUGUGGCGAAGGCGCCUCACCAGAACGGCUUCGACAGUGAGGGACGAAAGCUGGGGGAGCAAACCGGAUUAGAUACCCGGGUAGUCCCAGCCCUAAACGAUGCGCGUUAGGUGUAUCGGUGACCACGAGUCACCGAGGUGCCGAAGGGAAACCGUGAAACGUGCCGCCUGGGAAGUACGGUCGCAAGGCUGAAACUUAAAGGAAUUGGCGGGGGAGCACCACAACGGGUGGAGCCUGCGGUUUAAUUGGACUCAACGCCGGGAAGCUUACCGGAUAAGACAGCGGAAUGAUUGCCGGGCUGAAGACCCUGCAUGACCAGCUGAGAGGAGGUGCAUGGCCGUCGUCAGUUCGUACUGUGAAGCAUCCUGUUAAGUCAGGCAACGAGCGAGACCCACGCCAACAGUUGCCAGCAUGGUCUCCGGACUGAUGGGGACACUGUUGGGACCGCCUCUGCUAAAGAGGAGGAAGGAAUGGGCAACGGUAGGUCAGCAUGCCCCGAAUUAUCCGGGCUACACGCGGGCUACAAUGGGCAGGACAAUGGGUAUCGACACCGAAAGGUGAAGGCAAUCUCUUAAACCUGUCCUUAGUUCGGAUUGUGGGCUGCAACUCGCCCACAUGAAGCUGGAAUCUGUAGUAAUCGCGUUUCAAAAUAACGCGGUGAAUGUGUCCCUGCUCCUUGCACACACCGCCCGUCAAACCACCCGAGUGGGGUUUGGAUGAGGCCGCGGUCGUUGCCGCGGUCGAAUCUAGGUUCCGCAAGGGGGGUU